RNAcentral lists this ribosomal RNA (773 nucleotides) under uncultured bacterium. Its description in RNAcentral is "bacterial SSU rRNA". It matches the Rfam family "Bacterial small subunit ribosomal RNA", at positions 8 to 798 of the family's 1533-position model. The record is from RNAcentral.
AGAGUUUGAUCAUGGCUCAGGACGAACGCUGGCGGCGUGCUUAACACAUGCAAGUCGAACGGAAAGGCCCUUCGGGGUACUCGAGUGGCGAACGGGUGAGUAACACGUGGGUGAUCUGCCCUGCACUCUGGGAUAAGCCUGGGAAACUGGGUCUAAUACCGGAUAGGACCGCAUGCUUCAUGGUGUGUGGUGCAAAGCUUUUGCGGUGUGGGAUGAGCCCGCGGCCUAUCAGCUUGUUGGUGGGGUAAUGGCCUACCAAGGCGACGACGGGUAGCCGGCCUGAGAGGGUGACCGGCCACACUGGGACUGAGAUACGGCCCAGACUCCUACGGGAGGCAGCAGUGGGGAAUAUUGCACAAUGGGCGCAAGCCUGAUGCAGCGACGCCGCGUGAGGGAUGACGGCCUUCGGGUUGUAAACCUCUUUCAGUAGGGACGAAGCGAAAGUGACGGUACCUACAGAAGAAGGACCGGCCAACUACGUGCCAGCAGCCGCGGUAAUACGUAGGGUCCGGGCGUUGUCCGGAAUUACUGGGCGUAAAGAGCUCGUAGGUGGUUUGUCGCGUUGUUCGUGAAAACUCACAGCUUAACUGUGGGCGUGCGGGCGAUACGGGCAGACUAGAGUACUGCAGGGGAGACCGGAAUUCCUGGUGUAGCGGUGGAAUGCGCAGAUAUCAGGAGGAACACCGGUGGCGAAGGCGGGUCUCUGGGCAGUAACUGACGCUGAGGAGCGAAAGCGUGGGUAGCGAACAGGAUUAGAUACCCCGGUAGUCCAA